Molecule: ribosomal RNA, 687 nt
Filed under: uncultured Aequorivita sp.
Lineage: Bacteria; Pseudomonadati; Bacteroidota; Flavobacteriia; Flavobacteriales; Flavobacteriaceae
Description: bacterial SSU rRNA
Rfam family: Bacterial small subunit ribosomal RNA
Source: RNAcentral
GCGCGUACGAGGAUCUAGCUGUCUGGCUCCAUUGGUGAGCUGGGUGGCCAAGCGAAAGUGAUAAGUAUCCCACCUGGGGAGUACGUUCGCAAGAAUGAAACUCAAAGGAAUUGACGGGGGCCCGCACAAGCGGUGGAGCAUGUGGUUUAAUUCGAUGAUACGCGAGGAACCUUACCAGGGCUUAAAUGUAGUCUGACAGGAUUGGAAACAGUCUUUUCUUCGGACAGAUUACAAGGUGCUGCAUGGUUGUCGUCAGCUCGUGCCGUGAGGUGUCAGGUUAAGUCCUAUAACGAGCGCAACCCCUGUUGUUAGUUGCCAGCGAGUCAAGUCGGGAACUCUAACAAGACUGCCGGUGCAAACCGUGAGGAAGGUGGGGAUGACGUCAAAUCAUCACGGCCCUUACGUCCUGGGCCACACACGUGCUACAAUGGCAGGUACAAUGGGCAGCCACUACGCAAGUAGGAGCGAAUCCACAAAACCUGUCUCAGUUCGGAUCGGGGUCUGCAACUCGACCCCGUGAAGCUGGAAUCGCUAGUAAUCGGAUAUCAGCCAUGAUCCGGUGAAUACGUUCCCGGGCCUUGUACACACCGCCCGUCAAGCCAUGGAAGCUGGAAGCACCUGAAGUCCGUCACCGCAAGGAGCGGCCUAGGGUGAAGCUGGUAACUGGGGCUAAGUCGUAACAAGGUA